RNAcentral lists this non-coding RNA (28 nucleotides) under Mus musculus (house mouse). Lineage: Eukaryota; Metazoa; Chordata; Mammalia; Rodentia; Muridae. The record is from RNAcentral.
UAGGGACAUUCUAAUAAUUGUGUGACAC